GAGAGACUUAGCAAAGGCUUGCAUCAUCCCGAAAACGUCACAUACCCCAUGUAAGCUUUUUUGUAGAAUUUACAGUAUCCCGAUCCUUCCUUCCCUUUUCCUUUGAUUUUCUUCCCUAUUUCUCCCCCCAUUAUCUUGUUAAAGAAUCAACAAUAUCAUAAAAGCCUAUCCCUAUCUCUACUACUCUUCGCUUAUAUUAGAUUAGAGUAUGCAGUAGAAAUUUAUUCAACGACGAGAAAAGAAACGAAACAAAUAAAACCAACUUAUGGCCACUUCUUGGGCUGAAAAAAUAUCAAUCAACAGGGAAAGGGUGGUAAAGGAGCUCGUUCAAGGCCAAGAAUCUGCAACUCAUCUUCAAUUUCUCCUCGAGAAACCUUACGGAGAUAAUGGGUUUCUCUCAGCUAAUGAGCUUGCGGUCAAGAUCUUGAGAUCUUUCACUGAAGCUCUUACCCUGCUAACUUGUGAUUUUGUUCAGAAUUUUCAGAACCAGAUAACUUCCCAAGGGGACUCAGCUUGCUGUGAUGACCGGAGAUCUGAAGAUUCCGGCGAGAGCAGGAAGAGGGCAACUACCAAGGAGAGGAGGGGUUGUUACAAGAGAAAGCAAGUAUACUUAAUCUAGUUGCUUUUGUUAAAUCAUUAGACUAUAUAUUUUGCUUAUGAAAAUUAACACAAGAAACUUUUUUUUUUCUUGGUUCAGGAAGACUUCCCAGUCAUGGACAACAGUCUCAGAUGCAAUAGAAGAUGGUCAUGCAUGGAGAAAAUAUGGGCAGAAAGAGAUCCUCAAUGCUAAAUACCCAAGGUUGUAAUGCUUAUUUUGAAUUAUCAUUGUCCUGUUUUAUGGAUUGGAAUCUUAAAAGAAAACACAAAGGAGAAAAGGGGUGUGAAAUUAGGACUUUACUAAAAAGAGGAAAGUGAGUUUUCCCUGUUCCUAAUGCUAAACCCACUUCUUAUUUGUUUGAUGGACAGGAGCUACUUUAGGUGCACCCACAAGUACGAUCAAGGGUGCAAGGCAACGAAGCAAGUCCAGAGAAUGGAAGAAGAUCCACAAAUGUAUCAAACCACUUAUAUUGGUCACCAUACUUGCGGUGAUAUUCUUAAGGUUCCACAAAUCAUCACAACACAAGAUUGUUCGCCUUGGGAAUCUUAUAAGCUUACUUCCAAUUCAAACACUCUUACCCAAAUGGACCAUCAACACCAUCCACCCACCAAAAUUAAGCAAGAAUAUAAGGAAGAGAAUCCAAGCGAUCUAACAGAUAAUCUUUCAUCUUUGGACUCUAUCAUAUGGAAGGAUCUUGUAGCAUUUGAAUCAGCUGAGCCUGGUGAUCUUGUAGCUUCUACAGAGGCUACUUCUCAAAGUUUGGACAUAGAUUUUGCGGUGAAUUCCAUUGAACUUGACAGUGAUUUUCAUUUUGAUGAAAGUAAGUUCAACUACCUAACUUAAUAAGGUAGAAAGCUGUAGGUUUUCCCUUGUUAUUGUGGAAUAAGUAGCCGGCAUGAUUGUGGCCAUUCUAAUUAGCCUCCAAUAUUCUCAUUCUCAACCUAAAAUUCUGCUGUUCAUAUUGAAAAGGAGUAUGUGACAAUAUUGUAUUACUGUUUGCACUUUAUGUGCUUAAUAGCGAGAGACUUUCUAAUUCAAAUGACAAAAAGUUUUGAUCACCAACACUUU
RNAcentral lists this unclassified non-coding RNA (1666 nucleotides) under Hevea brasiliensis (rubber tree). The record is from RNAcentral. Lineage: Eukaryota; Viridiplantae; Streptophyta; Magnoliopsida; Malpighiales; Euphorbiaceae.